Molecule: ribosomal RNA, 492 nt
Filed under: uncultured bacterium
Lineage: Bacteria
Description: partial 16S ribosomal RNA
Rfam family: Bacterial small subunit ribosomal RNA
Source: RNAcentral
AGUGAACGCUGGCGGUAGGCCUAACACAUGCCAGUCGAACGGCAGCACAGUAAGAGCUUGCUCUUACGGGUGGCGAGUGGCGGACGGGUGAGGAAUACAUCGGAAUCUACUUUUUCGUGGGGGAUAACGUAGGGAAACUUACGCUAAUACCGCAUACGACCUACGGGUGAAAGCAGGGGAUCUUCGGACCUUGCGCGAUUGAAUGAGCCGAUGUCGGAUUAGCUAGUUGGCGGGGUAAAGGCCCACCAAGGCGACGAUCCGUAGCUGGUCUGAGAGGAUGAUCAGCCACACUGGAACUGAGACACGGUCCAGACUCCUACGGGAGGCAGCAGUGGGGAAUAUUGGACAAUGGGCGCAAGCCUGAUCCAGCCAUACCGCGUGGGUGAAGAAGGCCUUCGGGUUGUAAAGCCCUUUUGUUGGGAAAGAAAAGCAGCAGGUUAAUACCGCGCUGUUCUGACGGUACCCAAAGAAUAAGCACCGGCUAACUUCGUG